This 117-nucleotide ribosomal RNA is filed under the name Candidatus Shapirobacteria bacterium. The record is from RNAcentral. Lineage: Bacteria; Candidatus Shapironibacteriota.
UUCGGUCAUUGGAGCGAGGUGGAACCACCUUUUUCCAUUCCGAACAAAGAAGUGAAACGCCUCAGCGCCGACAAUAGUUCUACCGCAGGGUGGAUUGAAGAUAGGUCGUGGCCGGAA